This 540-nucleotide ribosomal RNA is filed under the name uncultured Glomeromycotina. RNAcentral's name for it is "SSU rRNA". It matches the Rfam family "Eukaryotic small subunit ribosomal RNA", at positions 548 to 1087 of the family's 1831-position model. Lineage: Eukaryota; Fungi; Glomeromycota. The record is from RNAcentral.
UUGGAGGGCAAGUCUGGUGCCAGCAGCCGCGGUAAUUCCAGCUCCAAUAGCGUAUAUUAAAGUUGUUGCAGUUAAAAAGCUCGUAGUUGAAUUUCGGGAUCAAUAUGUCUGUCGUGCCUUUGGUACGUACGGGUAUAAUUGGUUUCUACCUUCUGAUGAACCUUGAUGCCAUUAAUUUGGUGUCUUGGGAACUCAGGACUGUUACCUUGAAAAAAUUAGAGUGUUUAAAGCAGGCAUACGCUUGAAUACAUUAGCAUGGAAUAAUGAAAUAGGACGUUCGAUUCUAUUUUGUUGGUUUCUAGGGUCGACGUAAUGAUUAAUAGGGAUAGUUGGGGGCAUUAGUAUUCAAUUGUCAGAGGUGAAAUUCUUGGAUUUAUUGAAGACUAACUACUGCGAAAGCAUUUGCCAAGGAUGUUUUCAUUAAUCAAGAACGAAAGUUAGGGGAUCGAAGACGAUCAGAUACCGUCGUAGUCUUAACCAUAAACUAUGCCGACUAGGGGAUCGGGAUGAUGUUAAUUUUUAAUGUACUCAUUCGGCGCC